UGGCUCAGAGGUUAAAGCAUCUGCCUGCAAUGCGGGAGACCCAGGUUCCAUCCCUGG
RNAcentral lists this transfer RNA (57 nucleotides) under Ovis aries (sheep). It matches the Rfam family "tRNA", at positions 8 to 63 of the family's 71-position model. From Rfam's summary of the family: Transfer RNA (tRNA) molecules are approximately 80 nucleotides in length. Their secondary structure includes four short double-helical elements and three loops (D, anti-codon, and T loops). Further hydrogen bonds mediate the characteristic L-shaped molecular structure. tRNAs have two regions of fundamental functional importance: the anti-codon, which is responsible for specific mRNA codon recognition, and the 3' end, to which the tRNAs corresponding amino acid is attached (by aminoacyl-tRNA synthetases). tRNAs cope with the degeneracy of the genetic code in two manners: having more than one tRNA (with a specific anti-codon) for a particular amino acid; and 'wobble' base-pairing, i.e. permitting non-standard base-pairing at the 3rd anti-codon position. The record is from Rfam by way of RNAcentral. Lineage: Eukaryota; Metazoa; Chordata; Mammalia; Artiodactyla; Bovidae.